AUUCCCCUAGUAACUGCGAGUGAAGCGGGAAAAGCUCAAAUUUAAAAUCUGGCAGCCUUUGGCCGUCCGAGUUGUAAUUUAGAGAAGCGUCUUCCGCGCUGGACCGUGCACAAGUCUCCUGGAAUGGAGCGUCGUAGAGGGUGAGAAUCCCGUCUUUGGCACGGACACACCAGGGCUUUUGUGAUGCGCUCUCGAAGAGUCGAGUUGUUUGGGAAUGCAGCUCAAAAUGGGUGGUGAACUCCAUCUAAAGCUAAAUAUUGGCGAGAGACCGAUAGCGAACAAGUACCGUGAGGGAAAGAUGAAAAGCACUUUGGAAAGAGAGUGAAACAGUACGUGAAAUUGUUGAAAGGGAAACGCUUGAAGUCAGUCGCGUCUGCCGAGACUCAGCCUUGCCUCGGCUUGGUGUACUUCUCGGCCGACGGGUCAGCAUCAAUUUUGCCCCUUGGAUAAUGGUGAGGGAAAUGUGACACCUUUACGGGUGUGUUAUAGUCUCUCGUCGCAUGCAAGGGUCGGGAUUGAGGAACUCAGCACGCGCCUUUGGGCGUCGGGGUUCGCCCACGAUACGUGCUUAGGAUGUUGGCGUAAUGGCUUUAAACGACCCGUCUUGAAACACGGACCAAGGAGUCUAACAUGCCCGCGAGUGUUCGGGUGGAAAACCCGUGCGCGCAAUGAAAGUGAAAGUUGGGACCUCUGUCGUGGAGGGCACCAACGCCCGGACCAGACCUUCUGUGACGGAUCUGCGGUAGAGCGUGUAUGUUAGGACCCGAAAGAUGGUGAACUAUGCCUGAAUAGGGUGAAGCCAGAGGAAACUCUGGUGGAGGCUCGUAGCGAUUCUGACGUGCAAAUCGAUCGUCAAAUUUGGGUAUAGGGGCGAAAGAC
Molecule: ribosomal RNA, 879 nt
Filed under: Russula cavipes
Lineage: Eukaryota; Fungi; Basidiomycota; Agaricomycetes; Russulales; Russulaceae
Description: eukaryotic LSU rRNA
Rfam family: Eukaryotic large subunit ribosomal RNA
Source: RNAcentral